GUGGGGAAUAUUGGACAAUGGGGGGAACCCUGAUCCAGCCAUGCCGCGUGUGUGAAGAAGGCCUUUUGGUUGUAAAGCACUUUAAGCGAGGAGGAGGCUACCGAGAUUAAUACUCUUGGAUAGUGGACGUUACUCGCAGAAUAAGCACCGGCUAACUCUGUGCCAGCAGCCGCGGUAAUACAGAGGGUGCAAGCGUUAAUCGGAUUUACUGGGCGUAAAGCGCGCGUAGGUGGCCAAUUAAGUCAAAUGUGAAAUCCCCGGGCUUAACUUGGGAAUUGCAUUCGAUACUGGUUGGCUAGAGUAUGGGAGAGGAUGGUAGAAUUCCAGGUGUAGCGGUGAAAUGCGUAGAGAUCUGGAGGAAUACCGAUGGCGAAGGCAGCCAUCUGACCUAAUACUGACACUGAGGUGCGAAAGCAUGGGGAGCAAACAGGAUUAGAUACCCUGGUAGUCC
RNAcentral lists this ribosomal RNA (451 nucleotides) under uncultured bacterium. RNAcentral describes it as "partial 16S ribosomal RNA". It matches the Rfam family "Bacterial small subunit ribosomal RNA", at positions 354 to 796 of the family's 1533-position model. The record is from RNAcentral.